RNAcentral lists this ribosomal RNA (484 nucleotides) under uncultured bacterium. RNAcentral describes it as "partial 16S ribosomal RNA". It matches the Rfam family "Bacterial small subunit ribosomal RNA", at positions 30 to 507 of the family's 1533-position model. The record is from RNAcentral.
AUUGAACGCUGGCGGCAGGCCUAACACAUGCAAGUCGAGCGGAUGAAGGGAGCUUGCUCCUGGAUUCAGCGGCGGACGGGUGAGUAAUGCCUAGGAAUCUGCCUGGUAGUGGGGGAUAACGUCCGGAAACGGGCGCUAAUACCGCAUACGUUCUGAGGGAGAAAGUGGGGGAUCUUCGGACCUCACGCUAUCAGAUGAGCCUAGGUCGGAUUAGCUAGUUGGUGGGGUAAAGGCCUACCAAGGCGACGAUCCGUAACUGGUCUGAGAGGAUGAUCAGUCACACUGGAACUGAGACACGGUCCAGACUCCUACGGGAGGCAGCAGUGGGGAAUAUUGGACAAUGGGCGAAAGCCUGAUCCAGCCAUGCCGCGUGUGUGAAGAAGGUCUUCGGAUUGUAAAGCACUUUAAGUUGGGAGGAAGGGCAGUAAGUUAGUACCUUGCUGUUUUGACGUUACCAACAGAAUAAGCACCGGCUAACUUCGUG